RNAcentral lists this long non-coding RNA (5062 nucleotides) under Elaeis guineensis (African oil palm). RNAcentral describes it as "long non-coding RNA (EGUI_LNC001608)". The record is from RNAcentral. Lineage: Eukaryota; Viridiplantae; Streptophyta; Magnoliopsida; Arecales; Arecaceae.
CGUGCGGCCUUGAUCUAUAUAAAGAGAGAGGUUGGAUGCUCGUUCUCUAUCAUAAUCAUUGCUACAGCUUCUGAAGGCGAGCUUCUUCAUGCUGCUCUGCUUUUCAUCUAUAUUAUUUUGAUGGAAAAUUUAUUGGGAGUUGCAGGAGCUGAAGAUCAAAAGAUGCCCCCAUGUUGUCCGAGUCGCAAAUGUUGUCCACCCUCGCUCCCGUAAUAUUGUUAUGUGUGGCCUUUCAUUUUCUUUUAGUUAUCCUGUAAUAUGUAAAAUAAAAUUAGAUUAAAUCUGAUGUGAUGUGAUGAUUAGUAGAUGCAGUUUAGAUUAUUAUAAUGUCUGUGCUGUUUGCACUAUGCACUCUUAAUGUAUUGAAAAUGGGAGGAUUUUAAAAUCAAUCUGCGCCCCAGAUUUUUUUUUUUUAUUCCAGCCUUCUGGUUGGGCAUCGCUUUCUUUCUCUGCUACUUCUCUUCUCGAUCUUCUUUUGCAGGUGCAGCAAUGGCACUAGCUACCUAUAGCUAUCCACUAAUCCCAAACUCUUAACAUCUAAAUAUAAUAACAGUGGACCCAUAUCAUGCAUGGCAUCCAUCGACUUCUUCUUCACCAGCCCCUCCGACGCCGUCAAAUUCAUCAAGUUCAUCCCCGACGUGAUCUUCGUGCGCUCCUGGUCUGACAAGCUGUUCGUCUCACGAGCCCAAAAGCAACCACGAACACACAUUCUCCGUCGAGAUCUCCCCCAUCUACCGCAAGAACCAGAUGAUUAUUUACCUGCCUCCCAAGGUCGCUCAAGCCUUUUCACUCCUAUGCUCCAUGUUUCUCAAUGCCAACCGGUAGGUUUGCUGCAGAUGCCAUCGAACUUGGGAAGCAAAACAAUAGAAACGACUAUGCACAAGAGUCUCGGCAACUCUCGUCUCUUGAAUUUUGCCUUCCCUUCUUCCAACUCACAAAACCAAAACAAAACCAGAGCAAAUAGACUACCACGGUUGUUGCCCAUUGGACAAAAGAUUAAAGACAAUUUACAUCUAAAUUAUCCCCCCCAAUGGGCAACAACCGUGGUUGUCUAUUUGCUCUAGUUUUAUUUUGGUUUUGUGGGUUGGAAGAAGGGAAGGCAAAAUUCAAAAGACGAGAGUUGCUGAGACUGGUGCACAGUUGCUUCUUUUGUUUUGCUCCCCAAGUCAUGUGGGGAUCCUUAGCAAACCUACUGGAUGGCAUCGAGAAACGUGGAGCAUAGGAGUGAAGGGGUUCAGGAGGCGGACAGAGUUGGAGAUCUUGAUGAAAAGGAUGGUGGGGCUGGGAUUUCCCAGGCCUGAGCAACCUUGGGAGGCAAACAAAUAAUCAUCUGGUUCUUGCGGCAGAUGGGGGAGAUCUCGACGGAAAAUGUGUGCUCGUGGUUGCUUUUGGGCUCAUGAGAGACGAACUGUUUGUCGGACCAAGAGCGCACAGGGAUGAUGCCGGGAUGAACUUGACGAAUUUGAUGGCGUCGGAGCAGCUGGUGAAGAAGAAGUCGAUCGACGUCGGAUGAGUUGGGUCCACUAUUGUUAUUUUUAGAUAUAUUCCCGAAUUGCCCUCGUGGACAGUUUGGGCAUGUGAAUGAAUUUAAUAUUGCAACACAUGUGCUUCUACAUCGCAGAGUUUUGUUGGUAUUUUCGAUCAUGUUAUUUGGAUACAUAGCACAGCUUUAACGCUUGUGUAUCUGGAGAACUAUGUCGAAAUGCUGCCAAAAUUUUUUUGGUAUAGAAGACAUGUAUUGCAAUAUUAAAUUCUUACAUUCUUAAAUGGGAUAGGACCAUCACCCUAUAGGUAGAAGAUAUAAGGCAUUAGUCAACUAUUAUUAUAUAAAAUUGAUUGUAUAGUUUGCAUCAUAAAUAUGUAGGUAUUGAUCGUGGUUGGAUGUCAUUGUGUGAUAAGUUCUAUCCCGAGUAUAUUACGGGUGUGAUGUCUUUUAUGAAUGUGGCAUCCAAUCAUACUAGAGAAGAUGGAAAAGCUCGUUGUCCAUGUCAUCGAUGUAAGAAUUUAUUUUGGUGUACCUUAUCGGACAUUCAGAAUCAUUUAUAUGAACACGGUAUAUAUGUGACUUACAAGAGAUGGACUUGUCAUGGUGAAGAUUUGCUGACUAGCUCGAGCAUGUUGUUCACGAGUCCCAUAAAUCCAUCGUCAAUCGGUGGAUCAUGCAGUCUUGAAAGACAAACACUCGGUGCAGAAGAUAGAGAAAUUUUAGAGGAUCUCCAUCCAAAAUUAUUUGAAGUAAAUGUAGAAGCGAGAGCAGAACAUCAGCAUCCCAUUUCGAGACAAGAAGCUGAAGAGGACAGUAACAUAUCUAUAAAUGAUAGAUUCGAGCGUCUAUUAAGAGAUGCACAAAGUGAUGUUUAUCCUGGUUGUAAGAAGUACUCUCUGUUGUCCACCGUAAUAAAGUUAUUACACAUGAAGACACUUGGUAAGUGGUCAAACAACUUAUUUAAUUGGUUGCUCAAAUUUUUGAAAGACCUACUGCCAGAGGGAGAGUUACUUCCGUCAAGUCAUUAUGAUGCCAAAAAAUUUUUGAAAGGAUUCGGUUUGGGUCUCGAUGACUUGGGCCUAUGCUGUGAAAAGAUACAUGCAUGUCCGAAUGAUUGUGUUCUGUUUCGGAAGGAUAAAAAAGAUCUACAAGCAUGCCCGAUUUGUCAUUUAAGCAGAUGGAAAGAAAAUCGUGGUAAGGAUAAGAAGAAAAAGAAAAUACCAUGCAAGAUUUUGCGGUACUUUUCGAUUAUCAGGUUAUUUGCUGUCUCCGACUAUAAUAUAAACUGCACCAAUCAUUACAUCACGAUUGCAACUCAAGAAGGACUAGCCGCUAGUGCUUGUCCUUAUCUUGAUCCGUCCACAACCAACAAAAAGUAGGGCAAUGAGUUAGGCUUGGCAUUUUUGGAUGGGGGUUGUAGGCUUUGCAUGAAAAAAAUGAUGCACGUUCUUUUCGUGCAUCUACUCUUGGAAGGAGUUCGAAGUGCUUUACCAGGUGUGUAGAUAAACUUGGUCUCGAUGGAACUUUUCCUAACAUCUAUGAGUUCUAACAUAUGCUGAAUUUUGUUCCAGCGAUUAUCUUCACCACUAAUAUAUUUUUUAGUCUCUUUGAUUUCAUUUUAAAAAAUGUAGAUAUAACCCAAUCAAGAAGUUAUAUUCCUCAAGGCCUUGGGAUUCAGGUAGCUAGCUGAUGCACUUCAUGUCGUCUUAUGGUCAUUCUACGUUUGGUUAGUCUUGUGUACUUUAUUUCUGAUUGCUUGAAUAGAUCGAGUUCAAGUUUGUCUUUUGGAACAAUAAAAUUUCAUAUACCGCCAUAAAGGCUUAUAGCUUUUUCGCUUCUUCUCUUUCCACAAAUUGAAUAGAGUUUAUGCCAGCCUAUUAAAAUAGUGACUUGGGCCGAAUUAUAUGCUUAUAAUCCAAAGACAGAGAGAAAUUUGAGCAUUCAAGUUUGAAUUUGGAGGUUAGAACAUAUAAGGUAUAUUUUUCGUCAGAUGUUAUUUUCUUCAAUGGAUUUGUCUAUUAAGAUCAUAAGAGCAAUGAUACUUCUUGCUGGUUAUACAGAAUUUAGAGUUUUAUGGGAGUUUAAGAGAUUCUUAGGGAGACAUGGAGUAUGUAACGAUGACUUACACUAAUUAGUUUAUUAAAUUUUGCUAAAAUGUUAUAAGAUUUUUGUAAUUCUUUUGAUAAAAAUCUCAUUUUUAAUACAUUAAGAGCACAUAAUGCAAAGGACAUAUGCAUUAUAAUAAUCUAAACUGCACCUACUAAUCAUCACAUCAAAUCAGACUUUAUCUAACUUUAUUUUACACAUUAUAUAUGGGAUAAUUAAAAGAAAAUGGGAGGCAGCACGUAUAUUACGGGAGUGAAGAUGGACAAUAUUUACGAUUUGGACAACACGGAGGCUUGCUUUUAUCUUCAGCUCCUGCAAUGGUUUCCAACAAAUUUGGCAUCAAAAUGGUGAAGAUGAGAAGAAGCAGCAGCACAAGCUUGCCAUCAAAAGCUGUAGCAAUGAUUAUGAUAGAGAACGAGCAUCUAACCUGUCUGCUUAUAUAAAUCGAGAGGCCGUGGGAACUUGGUAGCAGGCGGUGUGAGAUGCACCUCACUAUUGGAUUAUUUGGGAGCGCGAGGACCGCCCUCCAUGUGAUGGUAUUGUUGUCGCAUGCGGUGGCAUAAGUAUCAUGGGCUUUGAAAGGUCACACCAUCAUUGGCAUCUUGGAGUGAAGCACGCUUUGAAGGUUGGGGUGGAAAUAUUACCCAAAAAAGAAAACUUUAGUUGUAGUUGAGAUAUUUUAAAUUAUUCAAUAAUUGAAUACUAAUUAGUGUCAUAAUAAAUAAUAAUAUGUAAAAAUUUAAAAUGAUGAUGUAAUAAAUAAAGUUAGAAAAUUUUUUGUAGAAAGCAUAUCAAAAUUUGGAUGUUAAAAAAUAACAAACUUUAACUAAAAUUUAAUAUAAAAAAUAAUAAAUGUCAUUUUCAUCCCAUCAAUUUUUGUUUUUUUUUGAUAAUAUUUUCAUCCCACAUCUUUAUAAUGUGCUUCAAUUCAAAAAGCCAAUAAUGGUGUAACCUUUCAAAGUCUGUGAUGCUUUUGUCACUGUAUGUGACAACAUUGUCACAUGGGGGUGGUCCUUGCGCUUCCAAAUAAUCCACUAGUAAGGUACAUCUCACAUUACCUGAUAUCGACUUCGUGCGGCCUUGAUUUAUAUAAAGAGAGAGGUUGGAUGCUCGUUCUCUAUCAUAAUCAUUGCUACUGCUUUUGAAGGCGAGCUUCUUCAUGCUGCUCUGCUUUUCAUCUGCAUUAUUUUGAUGGAAAAUUUAUUGGGAGUUGCAGGAGCUGAAGAUCAAAAGAUGCCCCCAUGUUGUCCGUGCCGCAAAUGUUGUCCACCCUCGCUCCCGUAAUAUUGUUAUGUGUUGCCUUUCAUUUUCUUUUAGUUAUCCUCUAAUAUGUAAAAUAAAAUUAGAUUAAAUCUGAUGUGAUGUGAUGAUUAGUAGAUGCAGUUUAGAUUAUUAUAUUGUAUGUGCUGUUUGCGCUAUGCACUAUUAAUGUAUUGAAAAUGGGUGUAUUUUAAAAUCAAUCUGCGCCCC